RNAcentral lists this ribosomal RNA (793 nucleotides) under uncultured Methanosarcinales archaeon. Its description in RNAcentral is "bacterial SSU rRNA". It matches the Rfam family "Archaeal small subunit ribosomal RNA", at positions 85 to 879 of the family's 1478-position model. Lineage: Archaea; Methanobacteriati; Methanobacteriota; Methanomicrobia; Methanosarcinales. The record is from RNAcentral.
ACKGCUCAGUAACACGUGGACAACCUACCCUUGGGACGGGGAUAAACCCGGGAAACUGGGUAUAAUACCCGAUAGAUCUCGGAAGCUGGAAUGCAUCGAGAUCGAAAGCUCCGGUGCCCAAGGAUGGGUCUGCGGCCUAUCAGGUAGUAGUGGGUGUAGUGUACCUACUAGCCUACGACGGGUACGGGUUGUGAGAGCAAGAGCCCGGAGAUGGAUUCUGAGACACGAAUCCAGGCCCUACGGGGUGCAGCAGGCGCGAAAACUUUACAAUGCCGGCAACGGCGAUAAGGGAACCUCGAGUGCCAGGUUACAAAUCUGGCUGUCGUGAUGCCUAAAAAGCAUUGCAUAGCAAGGGCCGGGCAAGACCGGUGCCAGCCGCCGCGGUAACACCGGCGGCUCGAGUGGUAACCGUUAUUAUUGGGUCUAAAGGGUCUGUAGCCGGCCGGAUAAGUCUCUUGGGAAAUCUGGCAGCUUAACUGUCAGGCUUUCAGGAGAUACUGUCUGGCUCGAGGCCGGGAGAGGUGAGAGGUACUUCAGGGGUAGGGGUGAAAUCUUGUAAUCCUUGAAGGACCACCAGUGGCGUAGGCGUCUCACCAGAACGGACCUGACGGCAAGGGACGAAAGCUAGGGGCACGAACCGGAUUAGAUACCCGGGUAGUCCUAGCCGUAAACGAUGCAGGCUAGGUGUUUGGGCGGCCACGUGCCGCUCUAGUGCCGCAGGGAAACUGUUAAGCUUGCCGCCUGGGGAGUACGGUCGCAAGAUUGAAACUUAAAGGAAUUGGCGGGGGAGCAC